CCCUCUGGACUGAGAUACCCUCGGGAAACUGAGGUCAAUCUCGGAUACUGCUUCCGUGUUGGAACACAGGAAGCUGGAAACGGUCCGCCGCCGGAGGACGUGACUGCGGCUGAUUAGGUAGACGGUGGGGUAACGGCCCACCGUGCCGAUAAUCAGUACGGGUUGUGAGAGCAAGAGCCCGGAGACGGAAUCUGAGACAAGAUUCCGGGCCCUACGGGGCGCAGCAGCCGCGAAACCUUUACACUGCACGCCAGUGCGAUAAGGGGAUCCCGAGUGCGAGGGCAUACAGUCCUCGCUUUUCGCGACCGUAAGGUGGUCGCAGAAUAAGGGCUGGGCAAGACCGGUGCCAGCCGCCGCGGUAAUACCGGCAGCCCGAGUGAUAGCCAAUUUUAUUGGGCCUAAAGCGUCCGUAGCUGGCCGAACAGGUCCGUCGGGAAAUCCACCCGCUUAACGGGUGGGCGUCCGGCGGAAACCAGUCGGCUUGGGGCCGAGAGACCAAAGGGGUACGUCCGGGGUAGGAGUGAAAUCCCGUAAUCCUGGACGGACCACCGGUUGCGAAAGCGCCUUUGGAGAACGGACCCGACAGUGAGGGACGAAAGACUAGGGUCUCGAACCGGAUUAGAUACCCGGUAGUCCUAGCCGUAAACGAUGCUCGCUAGGUGUGACGCAGGCUACCGAGCCUGCGUUGCGCCGUAGGGAACCGAGAAGCGAGCCGCCUGGGAAGUACGUCCGCAAGGAUGAAACUUAAAGGAAUUGGCGGGGGAGCACUACAACCGGAGGAGCCUGCGGUUUAAUUGGACUCAACGCCGGACAUCUCACCGGCACCGACAACGUGCAGUGACGGUCAGUUUGAUGAGCUUACCUGAGCCGUUGAGAGGAGGUGCAUGGCCGCCGUCAGCUCGUACCGUGA
This 910-nucleotide ribosomal RNA is filed under the name Halococcus sp. IARI-SGAB1. RNAcentral's name for it is "bacterial SSU rRNA". It matches the Rfam family "Archaeal small subunit ribosomal RNA", at positions 112 to 1019 of the family's 1478-position model. The record is from RNAcentral. Lineage: Archaea; Methanobacteriati; Methanobacteriota; Halobacteria; Halobacteriales; Halococcaceae. RNAcentral also lists the same sequence under 1 other name.